GGGGCAUUUCUGGGCGAGGCUGCGUGGGGCCGGGUCGUUAAAGAGGGAAGAAGGCUGAGCGGAGGGGUUGUGAAGCUCCCUUGGUCUCUCUGCUCGCACACGGGGCUAGCCGAGCCUUUUCCUUGUUGUUUUUCUUGAUUUUGUGAAGGCUCUUUGUGGAAAGCAGAAGUGCAGGUAAUGGGGGAGGCUGCAUCUGGGGGGAAAAUGUGAGAAAACGGAAAGCGAGGAGUGAGAGUGGCGUGGGGAAACCCGGCGGCUGUAAGAGCGCGGUGGGGCUGCUGCCGUCCGACGUGUGGGGUUUCCUCGUUAUUGCUGCUUGCACCUUUAAACCCACCGCUGAUAGCAGUCCGCAUAAAAUGAACUCCAGAAACUUCCAGUUUGGAACUGGGAGUCUGAGUUGAAAGCCUGGAGAGCAACAGUUGAGAACAAAACGAAACUUGCGUGGAGUUGCUGAACUAAUAAACAGAAAUAUGGCGAAGCA
Centrocercus urophasianus (Greater sage-grouse) is the source of this 481-nucleotide long non-coding RNA. RefSeq lists it as uncharacterized. The transcript is spliced from 2 exons. The record is from RefSeq and is a predicted model, not a curated record. NCBI's taxonomy places the organism in Eukaryota, Metazoa, Chordata, Aves, Galliformes, Phasianidae.